This 107-nucleotide non-coding RNA is filed under the name Aedoeadaptatus urinae. Its description in RNAcentral is "FMN riboswitch (RFN element)". It matches the Rfam family "FMN riboswitch aptamer (RFN element)". Rfam says of the family: The RFN element is a highly conserved domain that is found frequently in the 5'-untranslated regions of prokaryotic mRNAs that encode for flavin mononucleotide (FMN) biosynthesis and transport proteins. This element is a metabolite-dependent riboswitch that directly binds FMN in the absence of proteins. The record is from RNAcentral. Lineage: Bacteria; Bacillati; Bacillota; Tissierellia; Tissierellales; Peptoniphilaceae.
AUUCUUCGGGGCGAGGUGCAACUCCUCACCGGUGGUAAAGUCCACGAGUCACAUGAUUGAAUCGGUGCAAUUCCGAUACCGACGGUAUAGUCCGGAUGAAAGAAGAG